GGGCUGGAGCUCAUAAAUAAUACCGAGGCCACACCCCGCAGAACGCGGAGCCGUCGGCCCGGCCCGCCCCAAGCUCCGCUCGGCGGCACGGAGUGGGCGCGCAGCCUGAUCGCUCGGGGGGGUUCCCGGCGCAAUAAAAGGCUUUUGAGGGAGCAGCACCCGGCUCGUCCCAGGAGAAAGGCGGCAGCAGGUUGCUCUCCAGUUUCCCCGCCGGCUCGCAACCGCGUAUAUCGCGCAGCCGCGGAGCUCGCUGGCAAGAAACUCGCCGGGAAAGUUUCCUCCCCUCGGUACUGCGGGCCGACCUGGGGCCGCCGCUGUGCCCCGAUGGCAGCGCUGUGGGCUCCGUGCCGGAGGAGAGCGGCCCCGGGCUGCGAGCGGGACGGUGCGGGGCAGCCUUCGGGGCAGGCCGGGAAAAUGUUCAGUAAUCAAGAUGAGGGUUUCACAGCUGAAUGCUAUUGCAGCACUACUUCAGAGGAGCACAUCUCAAUACUUAUGGAGCCUUGUCCCAUUAUGGAGCCUUGUCCUACAGGCAGAAGUACGUUAACAGGUUUUACGCUCCUGAAAAAGUGA
Molecule: long non-coding RNA, 570 nt
Filed under: Phasianus colchicus (ring-necked pheasant)
Lineage: Eukaryota; Metazoa; Chordata; Aves; Galliformes; Phasianidae
Description: lncRNA (ENSPCLG00000000062.1)
Source: RNAcentral